GUUCCCUCCUCGCGCCGCCAACCCUUUCCCCUCCCCUCUGUUUCCUCUUCUUCCUCAAGGAACAGAGAAAGAGAAAACACCACCGAGAGCCUCGCCGUUGCUUGCGUGGUUGGAGGUCACCACGGUCAUCUCCGCAUGUACACAUCAACAAAGUAGCCACGUCACAACCAUGCAUUCCCACCGCAAGGCGCAAGCACACCUCCUCGGGUGUGAACUGACCUUUUCUUUCCCCCUAAAUUCAAGCCAUGCAUUAGCUAUCGGAUUCAAUGAGCCAAGAACCGAGGAGGUUUGCCUUCUCCACUUCUCCUCCCUGGCCGCUUCUCCUCCCCUCCACUUUCCUCACUCUUGCGCUUCCAUCCUCACCGGGGCUACAAAUACGUUCCCCUUGCGGGUGUGGCGACUGCGUAGUCAAGACGGCGUCCGCAGAACCCUAAACAAUCUUUUCCAAUCUUUUCCACCUGCUCUGGGUCCUCCUUCUACUGCCGGCCUCCCCACGUCGGUGUUCAGACCCGUCCCUUCUGUCGUUCCUCCGCUCCGGGUCCUCCUCGAGGCCGGCAGCAUCGGACGCAACAGACGCGGCGGACGCGACUCGCGGCCCCGGUUUGUGCGGGAUCCAUCAAGGUGGCCUCGGGAAGGAGCAGGUCGCCGGUAUCGCCACGCCUCCUCGCGGCCGCCAUGGCAGGCAAGCCAUCACCUCGCAGCCGAUUUAUUCUCUGCGCACGCCAUGCCUCCCCUGCGGUUUCUCCUCGCGCUGACGGCUUGGGACGCACGCACCGGAUGAGACCCUCCCUGCCACGGAGGAGAAGCUCGCCGGCCUCCCCCUGCCUCCUUGACGUAGAUAUCAAUGCCCGCAAGCCCAGCUUCAAGAAGACGGUGUGCCAUGUUCAGGUUCCAAAUGUUCUAAACCUCUGCAUGUUCAGGUUCGAUUCAGAAUUUGAGAAGCAGGUGCUUACGGUGUCACGCAGUACAGUGAAAAGGGCGUUUAGAUAUACUUAACAGGUCCAUCAUUUCAGCUUUCGGUUCAUUCAUCUAUCUAAACUGUGAGGAGGAGCUAUCAAGGCUAGGGAUGUGUAUACAUCACUCCUAGCCACCGGAAGAAGUGGCCAGUUUUCCCCAUACACCUAAUUGUCUACAAUUUUGAUUGAUUUAUUUAUUUUUGCAAGAAUUUGAAACUGCAGGACGCCGGAGGCAUCCAAUAGUUGUAAUUUCCUGUUUGCUUUUGUCAAAUAUAUUCAGAAUUGUAUAAGUCACUUGCCUUAUUAAUCUUUUCGUCUCCACAAAGGUUAUGUUUGUGAGCACGUUUAA
This is a long non-coding RNA of Triticum dicoccoides, 1305 nucleotides long. RefSeq lists it as uncharacterized. NCBI's taxonomy places the organism in Eukaryota, Viridiplantae, Streptophyta, Magnoliopsida, Poales, Poaceae. The record is from RefSeq and is a predicted model, not a curated record. The transcript is spliced from 4 exons.